GAUGAACGCUGGCGGCGUGCUUAACACAUGCAAGUCGAACGGAAAGGCCGAAGCUUGCUUCGGUACUCGAGUGGCGAACGGGUGAGUAACACGUGGGUGAUCUGCCCUGUACUUCGGGAUAAGCUUGGGAAACUGGGUCUAAUACCGGAUAUGACGAUCUCUUGGAUGGGGUUGUGGAAAGCUUUUGCGGUAUGGGAUGAGCUCGCGGCCUAUCAGCUUGUUGGUGGGGUAAUGGCCUACCAAGGCGUCGACGGGUAGCCGGCCUGAGAGGGUGUACGGCCACAUUGGGACUGAGAUACGGCCCAGACUCCUACGGGAGGCAGCAGUGGGGAAUAUUGCACAAUGGGCGCAAGCCUGAUGCAGCGACGCCGCGUGGGGGAUGACGGCCUUCGGGUUGUAAACUCCUGUCGCAAUCGACGAAGCCUUUUGGUGACGGUAGGUUGAGAAGAAGCACCGGCUAACUACGUG
This 468-nucleotide ribosomal RNA is filed under the name uncultured bacterium. RNAcentral's name for it is "partial 16S ribosomal RNA". It matches the Rfam family "Bacterial small subunit ribosomal RNA", at positions 28 to 507 of the family's 1533-position model. The record is from RNAcentral.